This 305-nucleotide ribosomal RNA is filed under the name uncultured bacterium. RNAcentral describes it as "bacterial SSU rRNA". It matches the Rfam family "Bacterial small subunit ribosomal RNA", at positions 337 to 656 of the family's 1533-position model. The record is from RNAcentral.
GCCUACGGGAGGCAGCAGUGGGGAAUAUUGGGCAAUGGAGGAAACUCUUACCCAGCAAUGCCGCGUGAAUGAGGAAGGUCUUCGGAUUGUAAAGUUCUUUAAUUGGGGACGAAAAAAAUGACGGUACCCAAGGAAUAAGCCCCGGCUAACUACGUGCCAGCAGCCGCGGUAAUACGUAGGGUGCGAGCGUUAAUCGGAAUUACUGGGCGUAAAGCGCUCGUAGGCGGUAUGUCAAGUCAAGGGUGAAAUCCCCGCGCUCAACGUGGGAACUGCCUUUGAAACUGGCAAACUGGAGUGUGUGAGAG